CGUAGGUGGCAAGCGUUGUCCGGAUUUAUUGGGUUUAAAGGGUGCGUAGGCGGUCUUAUAAGUCAGUGGUGAAAUACGGCAGCUCAACUGUCGAGGUGCCAUUGAUACUGUAGGACUAGAGUACUGUUGAGGUAGGCGGAAUGGACGGUGUAGCGGUGAAAUGCUUAGAUAUCGUCCAGAACACCGAUAGCGAAGGCAGCUUACUAAAGAGUAACUGACGCUGAGGCACGAAAGUGUGGGGAUCAAACAGGAUUAGAUACCCUGGUAGUCCACACUGUAAACGAUGAUCACUAGAUGUUGGCGAUACACUGCCAGCGUUCCAGCAAAAGCGAUAAGUGAUCCACCUGGGGAGUACGCCCGCAAGGGUG
This 368-nucleotide ribosomal RNA is filed under the name uncultured organism. Its description in RNAcentral is "bacterial SSU rRNA". It matches the Rfam family "Bacterial small subunit ribosomal RNA", at positions 526 to 896 of the family's 1533-position model. The record is from RNAcentral.